This 200-nucleotide ribosomal RNA is filed under the name uncultured bacterium. Its description in RNAcentral is "partial 16S ribosomal RNA". It matches the Rfam family "Bacterial small subunit ribosomal RNA", at positions 524 to 723 of the family's 1533-position model. The record is from RNAcentral.
UACGGAGGAUGCAAGCGUUAUCCGGAUUUAUUGGGUUUAAAGGGUUCGUAGGCGGGAGAUUAAGUCAGUGGUGAAAGCCUGCAGCUCAACUGUAGAACUGCCAUUGAAACUGAUUUUCUUGAAUUUAUAUGAAGUGGGCGGAAUGCGUCAUGUAGCGGUGAAAUGCACAGAUAUGACGCAGAACACCGAUAGCGAAGGCA